UGCCUUUUAUGGGCUCAGCUCUCUGCGUGCUGUCCUGCAGUGCAAAAAAGACAAGCUGACUCUUGCAGUGAGGACCAGCUCCCUACUUUAUGCUUCCUCUCAUGAGUGAAAAAGUUCAGCAUGAACCCUGACAAGCCUAAGUGAUUUGAGGUUUGCAGCUGCAACAGUGCACCAAAAAAACCCCCUAACUGAACUUCGUGAGAAUGUUAUCCUGCAACAAAUCACACACAGAAUGAUGAGAUAUAUGGCUGUGUCCUUGAAUCUUUGUUGUACAUCAGCUUCUCUCCACGCAAACCCACCACAAAGAAAGGUGCUGAGACAACACCACUAACUUCCCUUACCAGCAUUCCACUUGGGUUGCAAAGCACUGUGACGUUUGAGACCGUGUGAUGCUGGGUGAGGUACAGGCACAUAAAAAAUAACAGUCUUGCAUUCUAAUUAGCAGAAGCUAUGAGUGGUGAGGAUGACAAGAAAAGGAUGAAAGAGCAACACAUGUAAAGGAUGAUGUAGUGAGCAACUGAGUGGUUCCAAAUAAUUUCCUGGGCUGUGGGAAGUUUUGCAGUUGACUGCUGUUUGAUUGAUACUAAUAAGUAUUACAGCAAAACAACCUGAAGAAACAAUCCUAGAACAAAUUGAAGAAAGAAGAGCUAAUAGGUAGAGGACAAUUAUCCACGAUAUGCAAAGGAAUAUUUUAUUAUGCUACUAUCUCCUUGAAAAUUGAUUGUGCUAAAUAAGUUAUUGGUUGAAAAAUAAUGACAGAUAGCAAUGAAUGCUCAUACUAAGUACACGCAGGAUGGAAGCAGGCCUUAGCAGUUUUGUGUGUCGAGCCUUCGGAUCUUCCAUGUGACUUGCCAGGAGAGACCCCUAAGAAAAUAGUUACUGCUCAUGGUAAGGUAGUUGGGGAGCAUCAACCAAUAUGGGAAAAUCUCUCACUAGUUAAGCAAAUUAUAGACAAUGCUGCUCCAGUAUCUUCUAUUCUUUCAAGCUGAGGACUUCACAGCACAGGCAAUAACAGAUGUUCUUGAUCUGUAAUUUGACAGUCAACAUCACAAGACUACACAUCACUUCCACACCAAUCCAUCUGUUGAGAUAAGAAUUUGUGCUUCCCGUGGUGCACUGCCUCUGCCAUAAGUGACUUCAGGAAAUUUCAAACUUCAUUUUGAGCCAGACUCAAAUCAA
This is a long non-coding RNA of Chroicocephalus ridibundus (black-headed gull), 1179 nucleotides long. RefSeq lists it as uncharacterized. The record is from RefSeq and is a predicted model, not a curated record. NCBI's taxonomy places the organism in Eukaryota, Metazoa, Chordata, Aves, Charadriiformes, Laridae. The transcript is spliced from 3 exons.